RNAcentral lists this ribosomal RNA (489 nucleotides) under uncultured bacterium. Its description in RNAcentral is "bacterial SSU rRNA". It matches the Rfam family "Bacterial small subunit ribosomal RNA", at positions 30 to 511 of the family's 1533-position model. The record is from RNAcentral.
AUUGAACGCUGGCGGCAUGCCUUACACAUGCAAGUCGAACGGCAGCACGGGUGCUUGCACCUGGUGGCGAGUGGCGAACGGGUGAGUAAUACAUCGGAACGUACCUUAUCGUGGGGGAUAACGCAGCGAAAGCUGUGCUAAUACCGCAUACGCCCUGAGGGGGAAAGCGGGGGAUCGCAAGACCUCGCGCGAUUGGAGCGGCCGAUAUCAGAUUAGGUAGUUGGUGGGGUAAAGGCUCACCAAGCCGACGAUCUGUAGCUGGUCUGAGAGGACGACCAGCCACACUGGGACUGAGACACGGCCCAGACUCCUACGGGAGGCAGCAGUGGGGAAUUUUGGACAAUGGGCGCAAGCCUGAUCCAGCCAUGCCGCGUGCAGGAUGAAGGCCUUCGGGUUGUAAACUGCUUUGUACGGACGAAAGGUUAGGCCGUAAUAAGACUGGACCCAUGACGGUACCGUAAGAAUAAGCACCGGCUAACUACGUGCCAG